GCCGGGUGCAGUGGCUCACACCUGUAAUCCCAGCACUUUGGGAGGCUGAGGUGGGCGGAUCACCUGAGGUCAGGAGUUCAAGAUCAGCCUGGCCAACAUGGUGAGACCCCAUCUCUA
This 117-nucleotide non-coding RNA is filed under the name Nomascus leucogenys (northern white-cheeked gibbon). The record is from Rfam by way of RNAcentral. Lineage: Eukaryota; Metazoa; Chordata; Mammalia; Primates; Hylobatidae.